Molecule: ribosomal RNA, 69 nt
Filed under: Dirofilaria immitis (dog heartworm nematode)
Lineage: Eukaryota; Metazoa; Nematoda; Chromadorea; Rhabditida; Onchocercidae
Description: partial 5.8S ribosomal RNA
Source: RNAcentral
UUAAAAUUAAUUCAUCAGGUGAUGAUGUGAUGAUAAUCAUUGAAAAAUGACAAAAAUCCCCUGAUUAAG